RNAcentral lists this ribosomal RNA (603 nucleotides) under Elateridae sp. FC_C02. RNAcentral describes it as "SSU rRNA". It matches the Rfam family "Eukaryotic small subunit ribosomal RNA", at positions 22 to 602 of the family's 1831-position model. The record is from RNAcentral. Lineage: Eukaryota; Metazoa; Arthropoda; Insecta; Coleoptera; Elateridae.
AGUCAUAUGCUUGUCUCAAAGAUUAAGCCAUGCAUGUCUCAGUACAAGCCUAAUUAAGGUGAAACCGCGAAAGGCUCAUUAAAUCAGUUAUGGUUCCUUAGAUCGUACCCACAUUUACUUGGAUAACUGUGGUAAUUCUAGAGCUAAUACAUGCAAACAGAGCUCCGACCGGAGACGGAAGGAGCGCUUUUAUUAGAUCAAAACCAAUCGGCGGCGGGCGCAAGCUCGUCGUCGUUCACUCUGGUGAAUCUGAAUAACUUUCUGCUGAUCGCACGGUCUAGCACCGGCGACGCAUCUUUCAAAUGUCUGCCUUAUCAACUGUCGAUGGUAGGUUCCGUGCCUACCAUGGUCGUAACGGGUAACGGGGAAUCAGGGUUCGAUUCCGGAGAGGGAGCCUGAGAAACGGCUACCACAUCCAAGGAAGGCAGCAGGCGCGCAAAUUACCCACUCCCGGCACGGGGAGGUAGUGACGAAAAAUAACGAUACGGGACUCAUCCGAGGCCCCGUAAUCGGAAUGAGUACACUCUAAACCCUUUAACGAGGAUCAAUUGGAGGGCAAGUCUGGUGCCAGCAGCCGCGGUAAUUCCAGCUCCAAUAGCGUAU